Molecule: transfer RNA, 79 nt
Filed under: Sphingomicrobium lutaoense
Lineage: Bacteria; Pseudomonadati; Pseudomonadota; Alphaproteobacteria; Sphingomonadales; Sphingomicrobiaceae
Description: tRNA-Lys
Source: RNAcentral
GAACGAGUACUGAAAUCAUUGAAACUGCGCAGGACUCUUAAUCAGCGGGUCCUAGGUUCGAGCCCUAGUGCGUCCACCA